RNAcentral lists this ribosomal RNA (253 nucleotides) under uncultured bacterium. RNAcentral describes it as "partial 16S ribosomal RNA". It matches the Rfam family "Bacterial small subunit ribosomal RNA", at positions 524 to 776 of the family's 1533-position model. The record is from RNAcentral.
UACGUAGGGGGCAAGCGUUGUCCGGAAUCAUUGGGCGUAAAGCGCGUGUAGGCGGCCCGAUAAGUCCGCUGUGAAAGUCCAGGGCUCAACCCUGGGAUGCCGGUGGAUACUGUCGGGCUCGAGUCCGGAAGAGGAGUGUGGAAUUCCUGGUGUAGCGGUGAAAUGCGCAGAUAUCAGGAGGAACACCGAUGGCGAAGGCAGCUCGCUGGGACGGUACUGACGCUGAGGCGCGAAAGCGUGGGGAGCGAACAGG